UACGUAGGGGGCAAGCGUUGUCCGGAUUCAUUGGGCGUAAAGCGCGUGUAGGCGGCUGAGUAGGUCUGAUGUGAAAACUCGAGGCUCAACCUCGAGACGUCGUCAGAAACCACUCGGCUAGAGUCCGGAAGAGGAGAGUGGAAUUCCUGGUGUAGCGGUGAAAUGCGCAGAUAUCAGGAAGAACACCAAUGGCGAAGGCAGCUCUCUGGGACGGUACUGACGCUGAGACGCGAAAGCGUGGGGAGCGAAC
RNAcentral lists this ribosomal RNA (250 nucleotides) under uncultured bacterium. RNAcentral describes it as "partial 16S ribosomal RNA". It matches the Rfam family "Bacterial small subunit ribosomal RNA", at positions 524 to 773 of the family's 1533-position model. The record is from RNAcentral.